UGCCAGCAGCCGCGGUAAUACGAAGGUGGCUAGCGUUGUUCGGAAUCACUGGGCAUAAAGCGCGCGUAGGCGGCUCUGUCAGUCAGGUGUGAAAGCCCUCGGCUCAACCGAGGAAUUGCGCCUGAUACUGCAGGGCUUGAGGUCUGGAGGGGAGAACGGAAUUCUCGGUGGAGCGGUGAAAUGCGUAGAGAUCGAGAGGAACACCGGUGGCGAAAGCGGUUCUCUGGACAGAUUCUGACGCUGAGGUGCGAAAGCUAGGGGAGCAAACGGGAUUAGAUA
Molecule: ribosomal RNA, 279 nt
Filed under: uncultured bacterium
Lineage: Bacteria
Description: partial 16S ribosomal RNA
Rfam family: Bacterial small subunit ribosomal RNA
Source: RNAcentral